Molecule: ribosomal RNA, 433 nt
Filed under: uncultured bacterium
Lineage: Bacteria
Description: partial 16S ribosomal RNA
Rfam family: Bacterial small subunit ribosomal RNA
Source: RNAcentral
AACGAACGCUGGCGGCAUGCCUAACACGUGCCAGUCGAACGAGACCUUCGGGUCUAGUGGCGCACGGGUGCGUAACGCGUGGGAACCUGCCCUUAGGUUCGGAAUAACUCCCCGAAAGGGGUGCUAAUACCGGAUAAUGUCUUCGGACCAAAGAUUUAUCGCCUUUGGAUGGGCCCGCGUUGGAUUAGCUAGUUGGUAGGGUAAAAGCCUACCAAGGCGACGAUCCAUAGCUGGUCUGAGAGGAUGAUCAGCCACACUGGGACUGAGACACGGCCCAGACUCCUACGGGAGGCAGCAGUGGGGAAUAUUGGACAAUGGGCGAAAGCCUGAUCCAGCAAUGCCGCGUGAGUGAUGAAGGCCUUAGGGUUGUAAAGCUCUUUUACCCGGGAUGAUAAUGACAGUACCGGGAGAAUAAGCGCCGGCUAACUCCGUG